Molecule: ribosomal RNA, 253 nt
Filed under: uncultured bacterium
Lineage: Bacteria
Description: partial 16S ribosomal RNA
Rfam family: Bacterial small subunit ribosomal RNA
Source: RNAcentral
UACGUAGGGUGCGAGCGUUGUCCGGAAUUAUUGGGCGUAAAGAGCUUGCAGGCGGUCUGUCGCGUCUGCUGUGAAAAUCCGGGGCUCAACCCCGGACUUGCAGUGGGUACGGGCAGACUAGAGUGUGGUAGGGGAGACUGGAAUUCCUGGUGUAGCGGUGAAAUGCGCAGAUAUCAGGAGGAACACCGAUGGCGAAGGCAGGUCUCUGGGCCGCAACUGACGCUGAGGAGCGAAAGCAUGGGGAGCGAACAGG